This is a long non-coding RNA of Peromyscus leucopus (white-footed mouse), 1597 nucleotides long. RefSeq lists it as uncharacterized. The transcript has 3 exons. NCBI's taxonomy places the organism in Eukaryota, Metazoa, Chordata, Mammalia, Rodentia, Cricetidae. The record is from RefSeq and is a predicted model, not a curated record.
CUAAAUUUGGGUCUUUAUGUUUGUGAAGUGGGCACUUUGCCAGAUCAACCAUCUCUCCAGCCCUCCACUCUAUCUUUUGAGACAGGGUCUUUCACCAAAUCUAGAGCUCUUCUGUUAGUCCGGGCCAGUAAACUCCAGGGAUGUAUCUGCCUGUCUCUGCUUCUCCAGCAUCCAGCAUCCUGUGGGUCCUGUGUUUGCAAUCAGGACUUCCUGUUUAUGUGACACUUACUUUCCUAACUGAGCCAUCUCUGCAGCCCAGCACCUGAUGUCUUAACCCUUUCCUGUCCAGAUUCUGAUAUGUUGUCCAUUUGUUCCUGUGCAGGGACCUCAUUGAAAACACUGAGAAUGUUGAACCUGAAGGGCAAUAUAUGGACCUCAAAGUGAACACCAAGGAUAACAACAUCGUGUAUGCCUCCAUUGCCCGCUCAAGCCCAACCUCCCCAGGAACACCACCCUGCCAGCCCGUCCUUGGGAACCCCCAUGAAGAGAAUGUGUACUCCAUCGUAAAGACCAAAUGAGUGGGUCUGGGUGACGAUCUCAGAGUCAACUGUGUUUCUAGUAUGAAGACUCCCAGCUUCCACUGAUACCCAUAACCAGAGACAACAACUCAUGGGUCACUGAUACCCAUGGCCAGAGACAGAAAUCCACAUGUCAGGGCGUUUGAGCUCAGAGAAAAAUAGAAAUUCCCAGUUUGCUUUUCUAAUUUCCUAGACUUUUCUUACAACAAUAAUAAAAAUCCACAGAAUUUGCCUAAAUGAAUCUAAUUAAGAGUCACUUGUGUGACCCUUAACUUCUGGCCCUCUAAGAUUCCCUCCUCUAUCACUUUUUUCUAGCUGCCCAAGGCAAGGGAUGCCCCAGUGAUGGCAGCCACUCUACAAGAUGUACACCCACAUCUGGGAGGGUAAUAACCAGUACACAGUGACUGGUUCCCAUGGACCACCACACUGGACAUCAGCAGCAACCCUAGAUGGAUGGUGUGAGACAGGGAACUAAACACCAGAUGGUCACAAUGCUUUCCUAAGGCCGUGACCCUCCCAGGAAGUUAGGGUGCCAGGACUCACAGAGAUGUUUUUCUGAAGGUUCCCCAGGCCUGGGUCCUGCUGCUGUCCCCAGCCUCCUAUACCCUCCAGAGAGGGCAGUUUGCCAUAGGGACAUAAAAGGAUGCACAGCCUAAGCAGUGGACCCAGAGCCCUGCUUUAUUACCCAUGAUGCACAGCUCUAACCUGAAGCCUAGAGCAAGUCACCAACCUGCUCAGGAUCACUGAGAGGCAGUCAGCAGUAGAAGGACCAGAGCAAACUACUCCUCAAAGAGGCCCGCCAGGAACUCUUCUGAGCCAUCCCUCUGCUGCGACUCCCCUCUCUCCUCUGCCUCUCCAAUGUCUUCCAUGAGUUGCUCCAAGUCCAGGUCACUGGAACCAUGAUCUUCAGGGGGGAAACUUGCUGUCUCCUGUGUCAGGGGCUCCUGAGGCCCAGGACCUUCCUUUCCCAGUGGACAAGCCCCGUGUGGAGCUGGUGGAGCAGGGCACUUGAUACAAUUUUAAUUUCCUUCUCCUCAGGUAAGUUGGUGCUGAGGCCUUGUUUUCAGGAGCCUUAAUUU